GGCGCCGUGGCCGAGAGGUUAGGCAGCGGCCUGCAAAGCCGCGUACAGCAGUUCGAAUCUGCUCGGCGCCU
Molecule: transfer RNA, 71 nt
Filed under: Actinomycetes bacterium
Lineage: Bacteria; Bacillati; Actinomycetota; Actinomycetes
Description: tRNA-Cys
Rfam family: tRNA
About the family: Transfer RNA (tRNA) molecules are approximately 80 nucleotides in length. Their secondary structure includes four short double-helical elements and three loops (D, anti-codon, and T loops).
Source: RNAcentral